This 956-nucleotide long non-coding RNA is filed under the name Triticum aestivum (bread wheat). RNAcentral describes it as "long non-coding RNA (TAES_LNC026203)". Lineage: Eukaryota; Viridiplantae; Streptophyta; Magnoliopsida; Poales; Poaceae. The record is from RNAcentral.
UUUGUUUUUUUCCCAUUCUUUGUUUUCACGCAACGCCUCCAUGGAGUUCAUCGCCUACUACUUGCUGCCUACACUCACACACAUAUAUAUGAUCUACCCCGUCCUUCUGUGUACUUCCCCCUACUGUGGCAAUAGCACCUCCAGUAGUUGUAGUUCUCUGCUAGGUGGCCUUUCUAUCUUCAUCUUUUCCAUUGAUUUGCGGCCCCGACAGUCUCGGUUCCUCCCAAUGAUUUUAUUUUGUUAAGUAGUAUUUUUAUAAUAGAUGUUUUUUAUCUCAAAAAAUUUAGGUACUAGCGGUCCAAGUUUUCGUCCUGAUUCUGUCCAUUUCUUUAGGGAAUUCUAGGAGACCGUGAACCCGUGGUUAUUGUAUAUUGGUUCGGAGAUUCUUCACUUAACAAUUUGCAAUGACUAACGGGCCUGGUUAGUUUACGCAAUAGUUCAUCUCUUAGUUCUGUAAUUUCUUGGAUUUGAUAGCCCUAAAAAGUAUGUGUAUUAGGACUGAAGAUGCAUGAGGCAUCCCUGAAGAAUGGAGAUGAAUGAGGAAGUACUAAGAUAGUGAGAGAUGAGAUUCCAACCUGGUAAGGCGACACAGAUAAUUAUCUAUUUUUUUCAUAAAAAUGUAUAUAUCCAUUUCUGAUCUUUUUUUUGUUUUGAUUGUUUGGAAAAGGGUCCAGGACCAAGAAAGAUGUUACGAAGUGGUAUGUCAAAACAAAAGCUAAUGUUUCCAUUUAGAUUAUGCAGUUUAGAAGGUAUUACAAAUUAAGUACGAACUAUUGACUUCAGACUAUCCCUUUUUAGCCUUGAAUUAUCGAGUUCGUCUUCUUUUAAUUAUCGUAUCAUCCCUUUACAUACAUGGUUCCAUUACCAAAAUCAGGGAGGAGCUUGGUGGUGCUGGAGUUAAGGAGUACAGCUGGUGGUGGGUUAGGAUAGUGUCGGUCGUUGUUUUCACGUGCUCU